Numida meleagris (helmeted guineafowl) is the source of this 1551-nucleotide long non-coding RNA. RefSeq lists it as uncharacterized. The record is from RefSeq and is a predicted model, not a curated record. The transcript is spliced from 7 exons. NCBI's taxonomy places the organism in Eukaryota, Metazoa, Chordata, Aves, Galliformes, Numididae.
CAAUGCUGGCUGAGACAGCAGAGGGCAGGCAGGGUUGGAAAUGCUUGGGGAAAAAAAUCUUGAAGCUGCUUCAGGAAGGGAAGGCUGAAACCAGCGAAGACUCCUGCUCUGGGUGCAGCCCCUGAUCAGCUGAGCUCGUCCAUAAAUGGGAGGAAUGGAAAAUGAAGAAAUUUUCUUUUUCACGUGUUCAGUGAUCUCCGCUGUGUGCUGGUGUAGGCCUCCACCAGUCGUCUGGCUCAGGUUUUGCCCUUUGCUUCUUGUCCUGUCAGUGUCCUGUCACCACAGAGAGGAGUCUGGCUCAUUCUCUUUUGCUCCCCCUGACUACCAUCAGAGAUGACAUGAAUUAUCCUUCUGACACUGGAUCUGAUGUUGAUGCAAGAACCCUGGACUGGCAGAACAGAAGCUGUUCUCCCCUUUCCCAGAUCCAGAUAAUGCCCAGGCAAAAGUGCCAGCAAGUUCAGCUGCAGAAGCACCAGCCCUGCCAGCACUCCUCCCAGUGGUGUAUUUCACUGCAGUAGACAAGAACAGGCUAUCCCUGAAUGAGCAAGUGCCCAGCCACGCAGACCUAUUACAGAUCCUGUUUUCCUACACUUUGUACAUCACAGUGAUAACACUAUUACCACGGGUAAAAUGAAGAGCAUUUCUCAGAAGUAUGCCUUGUGAUUUGUGUUCUGCUUACAGACAGCCUUCUUCUUCCAGAUGGGAUGAUGUGACAAAUAAAUACUUCAGAUCUCUCAGGGAUACUCUACCAUUCAUCUCCCCAUCAGAAGACAGGCUCAGGGGGAGCUGGCAAUGCCCAUUUCCCACCUGUACCACAUCAGGGGCUGCCUGGGUUCCGCUGGCUCUGACCCACACCACCUCUCAGAACCCCACGAUCUGAAGAGUAAAGGCAAGGCGGUGCUUCAGGGAGAAACCAGAAUUCUGACUCUCAGCAUGUAAGUGCUCUUUUGUUCCUUACUCUGGGUUUUCUCAGUGGUAUUUUCAGCCCUGUUUGUCUAGCUGGUGUUGCAGGACACAAACCACAGCGCUGCAGGGGAGCUGUUGAGAAGCUCUGAGACGGCUGCAAGCCCACGCACCGUAUCUGUGAUAGUUUGUGCCAGAGCAUUAUGGCCACAUGCAAAGCAGCAGAUGAAUUAUGUGUGCAACAAGCUGAGGAGGGACCGUGGCCACAGCCUGACAUUUUCCUGCCUGCUGAGCACAGCUUGCAAGGGGAGGAGAGCCAAUGGGAUGACAUGAGGCUGUUUGUCACAGCGCGUGCUUGCUGCCCCUGCGCUGGCUGCAUCCUUUGGUCACACUUCUACUGUUGGCUGUGUGCCUAUUUCUGGGCUAAACUACACAGCCAGGGGCACUGGACCUUGACCUGUUCCUGCAGCACUGUUGUGGCUGGGGCAGCUGGUACUCUUCCCACAAAAAAUCCUGGGCACAAUUUAGACAUUAGCAGGGAUAGGUCAUUUGGGCUUAACUACCUUAUUGCAGAGAGGAAUGGUGUUUAACAGAAUGGAAGUGACUAAAUGGCACAAAUUAGCAGCCAGAUCCGUUUCCUGGCUCUUG